RNAcentral lists this ribosomal RNA (490 nucleotides) under uncultured bacterium. RNAcentral describes it as "partial 16S ribosomal RNA". It matches the Rfam family "Bacterial small subunit ribosomal RNA", at positions 28 to 507 of the family's 1533-position model. The record is from RNAcentral.
GAUGAAUGCUAGCUACAGGCUUAACACAUGCAAGUCGCGGGGCAGCAUGGGGGUUGCUUGCAAUCCCCGAUGGCGACCGGCGCACGGGUGAGUAACGCGUAUCCAACCUGCCCUUCACCACGGGAUAACCCGGCGAAAGUCGGACUAAUACCGUAUGUUGUCCAUUGACGGCAUCCGAUUUGGACGAAAGGUUUGGCGGUGAAGGAUGGGGAUGCGUCCGAUUAGCUGGACGGCGGGGUGACGGCCCACCGUGGCGACGAUCGGUAGGGGUUCUGAGAGGAAGGUCCCCCACACUGGAACUGAGACACGGUCCAGACUCCUACGGGAGGCAGCAGUGAGGAAUAGUGAUCAAUGGGCGUAAGCCUGAACCAGCCAAGUAGCGUGCAGGAUGACGGCCCUAUGGGUUGUAAACUGCUUUUAUGCGGGGAUAAAGUGGCCCACGUGUGGGUUUUUGCAGGUACCGCAUGAAUAAGGACCGGCUAAUUCCGUG